UCCCUGGUGGUCCAGUGGGUAAGACUCUGUGCUUCCAAUGCAGCAGGCCCAGGUUCGAUCCCUGGCCAGGGAC
Molecule: non-coding RNA, 73 nt
Organism: Lipotes vexillifer (Yangtze River dolphin)
Lineage: Eukaryota; Metazoa; Chordata; Mammalia; Artiodactyla; Lipotidae
Source: the annotation of a RefSeq genome assembly